Saccostrea cuccullata (small rock oyster) is the source of this 201-nucleotide long non-coding RNA. RefSeq lists it as uncharacterized. The transcript has 3 exons. The record is from RefSeq and is a predicted model, not a curated record. NCBI's taxonomy places the organism in Eukaryota, Metazoa, Mollusca, Bivalvia, Ostreida, Ostreidae.
AAUAAAAUGUCAGAAAAUAUUGUCACAUGUACAUUACAUUAUUUUGAAUUGAAGUUGCAUUUUAAUAAUUGAUAUUGCAGACGAACUAAUGCUCAAACAAGAGCGACUCAACAAAACAGAAGAGCAUCAGAAGACUCUCUCAAGGGAGACAUCCGAAUCUCUGAAAGCGUUUGAAGAUAAAGCAAUGGGGAUUUUAAAAGG